RNAcentral lists this ribosomal RNA (492 nucleotides) under uncultured bacterium. Its description in RNAcentral is "partial 16S ribosomal RNA". It matches the Rfam family "Bacterial small subunit ribosomal RNA", at positions 29 to 507 of the family's 1533-position model. The record is from RNAcentral.
AGUGAACGCUGGCGGUAGGCCUAACACAUGCAAGUCGAACGGCAGCACAGUAAGAGCUUGCUCUUACGGGUGGCGAGUGGCGGACGGGUGAGGAAUACAUCGGAAUCUACUUUUUCGUGGGGGAUAACGUAGGGAAACUUACGCUAAUACCGCAUACGACCUACGGGUGAAAGCAGGGGAUCUUCGGACCUUGCGCGAUUGAAUGAGCCGAUGUCGGAUUAGCUAGUUGGCGGGGUAAAGGCCCACCAAGGCGACGAUCCGUAGCUGGUCUGAGAGGAUGAUCAGCCACACUGGAACUGAGACACGGUCCAGACUCGUACGGGAGGCAGCAGUGGGGAAUAUUGGACAAUGGGCGCAAGCCUGAUCCAGCCAUACCGCGUGGGUGAAGAAGGCCUUCGGGUUGUAAAGCCCUUCUGUUGGGAAAGAAAAGCAGCAGGUUAAUACCCCGCUGUUCUGACGGUACCCAAAGAAUAAGCACCGGCUAACUUCGUG